ACUACCUUUAUCGCACUGUUCUGGUUAAGUUUUCACGGAGUAGGUCCGGUUGUGUAGCGUUGCCUUUUUUGAGGCUGCGGCCUUUGACAGGCUUAAAAAAAAAAAUAAAAUUAAAGCAAACAUUUUCGGCAAACUCAGCAAAGAAUAUCGAAAUAGUGUGUAAUAAAUAAAAAAAAUGACACGCGGAAAUCAACGCGAAUUGGCCAGGGCUAAGAAUCAAAGGAAACAACUCGAAAGUUCUAAAAAGAAACCUUCCGGGGGGGACGGCCUAACGUUGGAACAGAGAAAAUUUCGGUAAAACAGAUCAUAGAAAGCAACUUUAUUUUUACAUAUUUAAGUUUAGUUUAAAGUGUGUAAUAAGGGUGAGAGUAUCCUGUUUAUAGGGAUGCGGAAAUGAUGAGAGAAAAACAACGCAAAAAAGAAGAUGCGGUACCCAGCCAAAAUAAAAAAUAAGUUUAUCAGGAACUGAUCCAUGUGUCAUUAAAUCUUUUUUUAAUAUUUACCAAGUAUUAUUAACCAUUUAACUUGUAUUUUAUUUCAUAGGUGUAUAAAUAAAAUUUUUAUUAAUUCUA
Molecule: non-coding RNA, 572 nt
Organism: Onthophagus taurus
Lineage: Eukaryota; Metazoa; Arthropoda; Insecta; Coleoptera; Scarabaeidae
Source: RefSeq, a predicted model, not a curated record